GCGGACAUAGCUCAGUUGGGAGAGCGUCAGACUGAAGUCAACUUCAAUCACUUGAUCUGAAGGUCGUGUGUUCAAUCCACACUGGCCGCA
RNAcentral lists this transfer RNA (90 nucleotides) under Colletotrichum lupini. It matches the Rfam family "tRNA". Rfam says of the family: Transfer RNA (tRNA) molecules are approximately 80 nucleotides in length. Their secondary structure includes four short double-helical elements and three loops (D, anti-codon, and T loops). Further hydrogen bonds mediate the characteristic L-shaped molecular structure. tRNAs have two regions of fundamental functional importance: the anti-codon, which is responsible for specific mRNA codon recognition, and the 3' end, to which the tRNAs corresponding amino acid is attached (by aminoacyl-tRNA synthetases). tRNAs cope with the degeneracy of the genetic code in two manners: having more than one tRNA (with a specific anti-codon) for a particular amino acid; and 'wobble' base-pairing, i.e. permitting non-standard base-pairing at the 3rd anti-codon position. RNAcentral also lists the same sequence under 1 other name. Lineage: Eukaryota; Fungi; Ascomycota; Sordariomycetes; Glomerellales; Glomerellaceae. The record is from Rfam by way of RNAcentral.